RNAcentral lists this ribosomal RNA (254 nucleotides) under uncultured bacterium. RNAcentral describes it as "partial 16S ribosomal RNA". It matches the Rfam family "Bacterial small subunit ribosomal RNA", at positions 524 to 776 of the family's 1533-position model. The record is from RNAcentral.
UACGAAGGGGGCUAGCGUUGCUCGGAAUCACUGGGCGUAAAGGGUGCGUAGGCGGGUCUUUAAGUCAGAGGUGAAAUCCUGGAGCUCAACUCCAGAACUGCCUUUGAUACUGAGGAUCUUGAGUACGGGAGAGGUGAGUGGAACUGCGAGUGUAGAGGUGAAAUUCGUAGAUAUUCGCAAGAACACCAGUGGCGAAGGCGGCUCACUGGCCCGUUACUGACGCUGAGGCACGGAAAGCGUGGGGAGCAAACAGG